This is a long non-coding RNA of Heterocephalus glaber (naked mole-rat), 430 nucleotides long. Lineage: Eukaryota; Metazoa; Chordata; Mammalia; Rodentia; Bathyergidae. The record is from Ensembl.
GCUUAAUCAUGUCUGCAGAGCACGUUUUCCCAUGUAAGAAAAGAAGUCAUUACUCUCAACAGCGACAAUAACAAGAGUAGCAAGCAUCUUCUAUGGUCCUCAAAGGGUUUUUGAUUAAUUAGCUGACUUCAAGCAGCACUGCUUAACUCAGGAACAUUCAGCUGGAGAAAAGAUGAUUUACCCAGAAGCUCCUUAUGGAAUAACAAACUAAACCCAACCUCUGCGGACCCAGGCUUACCUCAGAUGGGAGAGGCACUUUCCUAAUAAGGAGAAGCUCUUUACUUCUUGAGAGGAGGUGCAGCUUGGCUGUCAUCAUUGGCGCCCUUCCCAGCACUCCCUGUUCCAGACACUGCCCUUUAUUUGAAGAAGUGGUAAGGAAAUGGCUCCUAAUGUGACAGAGGUAAGGGAGAUAUCUGAGCCAAUUACGAAC